Molecule: ribosomal RNA, 253 nt
Filed under: uncultured bacterium
Lineage: Bacteria
Description: partial 16S ribosomal RNA
Rfam family: Bacterial small subunit ribosomal RNA
Source: RNAcentral
UACGUAGGGACCAAGCGUUGUUCGGAUUUACUGGGCGUAAAGGGCGCGUAGGCGGCGUGGUAAGUCACUUGUGAAAUCUCUGAGCUUAACUCGGAACGGCCAAGUGAUACUGCUGUGCUAGAGUGCAGAAGGGGCAAUCGGAAUUCUUGGUGUAGCGGUGAAAUGCGUAGAUAUCAAGAGGAACACCUGAGGUGAAGACGGGUUGCUGGGCUGACACUGACGCUGAGGCGCGAAAGCCAGGGGAGCAAACGGG